CUCCCUCCACCCUGGAUGAAUAUCUCCCUUUCUGCUUUCUUCUUUCCCUUAUCACACUGAUUUAUAACUCUUUGCCUCUGUGUCUCCCGUAACUGCAGGAAGGGCAGAGUCUUGUACCUCUGGACCCAGUGUAGGCCUGCAACGGUCUCAGGUGCAGGAUGUGGAUGGGAGAGAGUUUGGUUUGAAAGGGUUAAGGGGUGAUUCCUGGUGCACAGAACAGGCCACCUCCCACCCUCUGGUUGUUCUCUUUACAGAUCAAUAAGAUGGAGUGGUGGAGCCGCUUGGUGUCCAGUGACCCUGAGAUCAACACCAAGAAGAUUAACCCCGAGAAUUCCAAGGUGAGCCCUGGCUGGUUGGGGGAGCUUCAGCAGGAAGGUGAGGGUCCUCAGUGUUUCCAGAGCUUCACCAAUUCCUGUCACUGCCUGCCCUCAGCUGUCAGACCUAGACAGUGAGACUCGCAGCAUGGUGGAAAAGAUGAUGUAUGACCAGCGACAGAAGUCCAUGGGGCUGCCAACUUCAGACGAACAGAAGAAACAGGAGAUUCUGAAGAAGUUCAUGGAUCAGCAUCCGGAGAUGGAUUUUUCCAAGGCUAAAUUCAACUAGCUC
Molecule: small RNA, 606 nt
Filed under: Pongo abelii (Sumatran orangutan)
Lineage: Eukaryota; Metazoa; Chordata; Mammalia; Primates; Hominidae
Description: processed transcript
Source: RNAcentral